This 252-nucleotide ribosomal RNA is filed under the name uncultured bacterium. RNAcentral describes it as "partial 16S ribosomal RNA". It matches the Rfam family "Bacterial small subunit ribosomal RNA", at positions 524 to 775 of the family's 1533-position model. The record is from RNAcentral.
UACGAAGGGGGCUAGCGUUGCUCGGAAUGACUGGGCGUAAAGGGCGCGUAGGCGGAUGGUACAGUCAGAUGUGAAAUGCCCGGGCUCAACCUGGGGGCGGCAUUUGAGACGUGCGGUCUGGAGUGAGGAAGAGGGUCGUGGAAUUCCCAGUGUAGAGGUGAAAUUCGUAGAUAUUGGGAAGAACACCGGUGGCGAAGGCGGCGACCUGGUCCUUGACUGACGCUGAGGCGCGAAAGCGUGGGGAGCAAACAG